CGGUGGAGCAUGUGGUUUAAUUCGAUGAUACGCGAGGAACCUUACCUGGACUAGAAUGCAGUUGGACAGGCGUUGAAAGGGCCUUCGCCGUUUAAGGUGUGACGAGCGCAACCCCCAUCACUAGUUGCCAUCGGGACGUCAAGUAUCACGGCCUUUAUGUCCAGGCUACAUACAUGGCGAGUACAAGGGCUGCAACACAGCGAUGUGAAGCUUCCCAAAAAACUCGUCUCAGUUCGGAUUGGAGUGCAACUCGACUCCAUGAAGCUGGAAUCGCUAGUAAUCGGCAUCAGCAAUGGNNCGGUGAAUACGUUCCCGGACCUUGUACACACCGCCGUCAAGCCAUGGGAGCCGGGUGUACCUAAAGGCGAUAACCGCAAGGAGUCGUUCAGGUAAAAUCGGUGACUGGGGCUAAGUCGUACAAGGU
This 424-nucleotide ribosomal RNA is filed under the name uncultured Bacteroidota bacterium. RNAcentral describes it as "bacterial SSU rRNA". It matches the Rfam family "Bacterial small subunit ribosomal RNA", at positions 930 to 1497 of the family's 1533-position model. Lineage: Bacteria; Pseudomonadati; Bacteroidota. The record is from RNAcentral.